GCAUAUCAAUAAGCGGAGGAAAAGAAACCAACAGGGAUUGCCCCAGUAACGGCGAGUGAAGCGGCAACAGCUCAAAUUUGAAAUCUGGCCUCCGGGUCCGAGUUGUAAUUUGUAGAGGAUGCUUUUGGCGAGGUGCCUUCCGAGUUCCCUGGAACGGGACGCCAUAGAGGGUGAGAGCCCCGUCUGGUCGGACACCGAGCCUCUGUAAAGCUCCUUCGACGAGUCGAGUAGUUUGGGAAUGCUGCUCAAAAUGGGAGGUAUAUGUCUUCUAAAGCUAAAUAUUGGCCAGAGACCGAUAGCGCACAAGUAGAGUGAUCGAAAGAUGAAAAGCACUUUGAAAAGAGGGUUAAAAAGUACGUGAAAUUGUUGAAAGGGAAGCGCCUAUGACCAGACUUGGGCCCGGUGAAUCAUCCAGCGUUCUCGCUGGUGCACUUUGCCGGGCACAGGCCAGCAUCAGUUUGGCGCGGGGGAAAAAGGUUUUGGGAAUGUGGCUCCCUCGGGAGUGUUAUAGCCCAUUGCGUAAUACCCUGCGCCGGACUGAGGUACGCGCAUCGCAAGGAUGC
RNAcentral lists this ribosomal RNA (563 nucleotides) under Samsoniella hepiali. Its description in RNAcentral is "eukaryotic LSU rRNA". It matches the Rfam family "Eukaryotic large subunit ribosomal RNA", at positions 38 to 626 of the family's 3401-position model. Lineage: Eukaryota; Fungi; Ascomycota; Sordariomycetes; Hypocreales; Cordycipitaceae. The record is from RNAcentral.